UUUUGUUUGAUUUUCGUUCCUGUGUGUGUUGUGUAGGUAUAAUUUAUGAAACAAUAAAUUGGUAAAAAUGAGUUAUGGAAAAAGAAAACAUAAAUGUUGUGUGCCAAACUGCACUGACCAAGAUAGUGGACGUUUUAAAUUCCCCAAACCAAAGGACCUAUAUAAUAUGAACAUGUUUAAAAUGUGGGUUGAUAAUAUUAAAAAUCUAAUACUAAACAACACUGCUAUGAUGAAAUUCAUAGAAAAUUUCCGGUUUGUGCCAGGCAUUUUAGCCCAGAAAAGCUUAAUCUUUAUGGAUCCAGAAGAGGAAUUUCUAAUGAUGCUGUUCCUGUUUUAUUUAUGGGCAGCAGCAAUAAUAAUGCAUCUCAUCAAGAAGUAGAAGUAAGAAGUAAGACAACCCCUCAUGUGCCAGUAGAUGCAUUUCCAAGCACCUCUAUGACUAUCAAGACUUCCAGUAGUAAUCCACAUAAUGAUGCAUUUCUUAAGUCUGAUAAGACCCCAACUGGUCGUUCCGGUCUUCCCCCAACGUUAACCAAAGGAGCAGACGAAAAGUUGGAGAUUCCUGACCAAAAUCUUGAGUUACCAUUGGAGGUUCCAAGUAAUUUUAAAAGACAAUCUAUUUUAAAGGAGGUCAAUGUUACUAGGCAGAAUUUAUUAACACCAAAGGCACGUCAUCUAUAUAAAAAAGUUGUAGAUUCAAGCAUUAGACUUGGAAGAAUUAUUAGAAAGAAUAAGUCUUUUAAAGACAGGUUGGCCGAAGCUGAAAAAUUGGCCCAGACUUCCAAAUUUGAAAACCUGAUAAAU
Molecule: long non-coding RNA, 804 nt
Organism: Anthonomus grandis grandis
Lineage: Eukaryota; Metazoa; Arthropoda; Insecta; Coleoptera; Curculionidae
Exons: 3
Source: RefSeq, a predicted model, not a curated record